UUCACGCAAGUUUCAAGUAUAUGCUCGUUUGAUGUGAAAAUCAGACGAUAUUAAUAUUAAUUCAUAUGAGUGAAAUUCCUUGUGCAGGAUGAAAUAAAAUUAUAUUUGAUUCAGUAGAAUUUUAUAUUGCAUUACUAGGAACUUUACGACAGUCGACAGGGGAAAUGAAAAUAAAAUAUACUCAUUCAGAUCCCGCCAUUUCUCUGAGAAGGAAUAACGUUAUAUUCCGUACACCAUAACGUCACACGUUUUUGGUCAAGUUCUAGGCCUAUCGAUCAACUUUGAAGCCAUUUAUUUCAAAAACAAGGAUGGUGACAUAUGAGUUUCUAUACGUGUAUGGAUUCACUAUGCAAUCCUGGAUAUUAUGUUAGUUUUUUGUUUUUCUCCGUAUAUAAGAAAAUAGC
This 404-nucleotide long non-coding RNA is filed under the name Mytilus galloprovincialis (Mediterranean mussel). The record is from RNAcentral. Lineage: Eukaryota; Metazoa; Mollusca; Bivalvia; Mytilida; Mytilidae.